UGAAGUUGGUGUGACUCUGGGUGACA
RNAcentral lists this non-coding RNA (26 nucleotides) under Rattus norvegicus (Norway rat). The record is from RNAcentral. Lineage: Eukaryota; Metazoa; Chordata; Mammalia; Rodentia; Muridae.